GAGAGAGAGAUAACACAACCUAAAGAAGAAAAAAAGAACAGAAAGACGGGAGUGAGGGCCCAAUGGUGAGGUCCCCUGACCACGGGACAAGUGGCUGACGUUUGGAAGGAGAGAGCAUGCGCUUCUUGUUCCACGGGAAAAAGGUGGUGUGGGUUCUUUCUUGGAUCAGGCCUGCCAAGGAGAAGCUAAAAAGGAGAGCACACUGAGCUCUGCACGGCUUUCUGA
This 225-nucleotide long non-coding RNA is filed under the name Phoenix dactylifera (date palm). RNAcentral's name for it is "long non-coding RNA (PDAC_LNC000505)". The record is from RNAcentral. Lineage: Eukaryota; Viridiplantae; Streptophyta; Magnoliopsida; Arecales; Arecaceae.